GCGAACGUUGGCGAUGCGUCUUAAGCAUGCAAGUCGAGCGGGCUUAUUCGGGCAACUGGAUAAGUUAGCGGCGAACUGGUGAGUAACACGUAGGUAAUCUGCCGUGAAGUGGGGGAUAACCCAUGGAAACAUGGACUAAUACCGCAUAUACUCUUGCUACAUAAGUAGAGUAGAGGAAAGUUUUUUCGCUUCACGAUGAGCCUGCGGCCUAUUAGCCUGUUGGUAGGGUAAUGGCCUACCAAAGCUACGAUAGGUAGCCGACCUGAGAGGGUGACCGGCCACAUUGGGACUGAGAUACGGCCCAGACUCCUACGGGAGGCAGCAGCUGAGAAUCUUCCACAAUGGACGAAAGUCUGAUGGAGCGACAUCGCGUGAGGGAUGAAGGCCUUCGGGUUGUAAACCUCGGAAAUUAUCGAAGAAUGAGUGACAGUAGAUAAUGUAAGCCUCGGCUAACUACGUGCCAGCAGCCGCGGUAAUACGUAGGAGGCAAACGUUGCUCGGAUUUACUGGGCGUAAAGGGUGAGUAGGCGGAUUUAUAAGUCUAAGGUGAAAGACCGAAGCUCAACUUCGGGAACGCCUCGGAUACUGUAAGUCUUGGAUAUUGUAGGGGAUGAUGGAAUUCUCGGUGUAGCGGUGGAAUGCGCAGAUAUCGAGAGGAACACCUAUAGCGAAGGCAGUCAUCUGGGCAUUUAUCGACGCUGAAUCACGAAAGCUAGGGGAGCAAACAGGCUUAGAUACCCUGGUAGUCCUAGCCGUAAACGUUGUACACUAGGUGCUUCUAUUUAAAUAGGAGUGCCGUAGCUAACGUCUUAAGUGUACCGCCUGAGGAGUAUGCCCGCAAGGGUGAAACUCAAAGAAAUUGACGGGUCCCCGCACAAGUGGUGGAGCAUGUGGUUUAAUUCGAUGAUACGCGAAAAACCUUACCUGGGUUUGAAUUGUUAGAUGAAUGAUUUAGAGAUAAGUCAGACCGCAAGGACGUUUAACAUAGGUGCUGCAUGGCUGUCGUCAGCUCGUGUCGUGAGAUGUUGGGUUAAGUCCCGCAACGAGCGCAACCCUCACCCUCUGUUGCUACCGAGUAAUGUCGAGCACUCUUAGGGGACUGCCUACGUUCAAGUAGGAGGAAGGUGGGGAUGAAUGUCAAGUCCUCAUGGCCCUUAUGUCCAGGGCUACACACGUGCUACAAUGGCAAGUACAAAGAGAAGCAAGACCGCGAGGUGGAGCAAAACUCAAAAAAGUUGCCUCAGUUCGGAUUGGAGUCUGAAACUCGACUCCAUGAAGUUGGAAUCACUAGUAAUCGUAGAUCAGAACGCUACGGUGAAUACGUUCCCGGGGAUUGUACACACCGCCCGUCACGCCAUCGGAGUUGGUUUUACCUGAAGCCGUUAGCCUAACCGCAAGGAGGGCGGCGUCGAAGGUGGA
RNAcentral lists this ribosomal RNA (1419 nucleotides) under Brachyspira pilosicoli. RNAcentral describes it as "bacterial SSU rRNA". It matches the Rfam family "Bacterial small subunit ribosomal RNA". The record is from RNAcentral. Lineage: Bacteria; Pseudomonadati; Spirochaetota; Spirochaetia; Brachyspirales; Brachyspiraceae.